ACCAACAGGGAUUGCCUUAGUAACGGCGAGUGAAGCGGCAACAGCUCAAAUUUGAAAUCUGGCUCUUUCAGAGUCCGAGUUGUAAUUUGCAGAGGGCGCUUUGGCUUUGGCAGCGGUCCAAGUUCCUUGGAACAGGACGUCACAGAGGGUGAGAAUCCCGUACGUGGUCGCUAGCUAUUGCCGUGUAAAGCCCCUUCGACGAGUCGAGUUGUUUGGGAAUGCAGCUCUAAAUGGGAGGUAAAUUUCUUCUAAAGCUAAAUAUUGGCCAGAGACCGAUAGCGCACAAGUAGAGUGAUCGAAAGAUGAAAAGCACUUUGGAAAGAGAGUCAAACAGCACGUGAAAUUGUUGAAAGGGAAGCGCUUGCAGCCAGACUUGCUUGCAGUUGCUCAUCCGGGCUUUUGCCCGGUGCACUCUUCUGCAGGCAGGCCAGCAUCAGUUUGGGCGGUGGGAUAAAGGUCUCUGACACGUUCCUUCCUUCGGGUUGGCCAUAUAGGGGAGACGUCAUACCACCAGCCUGGACUGAGGUCCGCGCAUCUGCUAGGAUGCUGGCGUAAUGGCUGUAAGCGGCCCGUCUUGAAACACGGACCAAGGAGUCUAACAUCUAUGCGAGUGUUUGGGUGUCAAGCCCGAGCGCGUAAUGAAAGUGAACGGAGGUGGGAACCCGCAAGGGCGCACCAUCGACCGAUCCUGAAGUUUACGGAAGGAUUUGAGUAAGAGCAUGGCUGUUGGGACCCGAAAGAUGGUGAACUAUGCUUGAAUAGGGUGAAGCCAGAGGAAACUCUGGUGGAGGCUCGCAGCGGUUCUGACGUGCAAAUCGAUCGUCAAAUUUGGGCAUAGGGGCGAAAGACUAAUCGAACU
Molecule: ribosomal RNA, 859 nt
Filed under: Curvularia geniculata
Lineage: Eukaryota; Fungi; Ascomycota; Dothideomycetes; Pleosporales; Pleosporaceae
Description: eukaryotic LSU rRNA
Rfam family: Eukaryotic large subunit ribosomal RNA
Source: RNAcentral